RNAcentral lists this ribosomal RNA (1504 nucleotides) under uncultured rumen bacterium. Its description in RNAcentral is "bacterial SSU rRNA". It matches the Rfam family "Bacterial small subunit ribosomal RNA". The record is from RNAcentral.
GAGUUUGAUCCUGGCUCAGAACGAACGCUGGCGACGCGUCUUAAGCAUGCAAGUCGGGCGGGAUCGUGGUGCUUGCACCACGUGAGAGCGGCGGACUGGCGAGGAGCGCGUGGGUGACGCACCCCCCGGACGGGGACAGCCGGCAGAAAUGCCGGGUGAUACCGGAUGAGGUCCCCCUUGUCGGAGGAGGGGGAGGAAAGGGGCUUCGGCCCCGCCGGGGGAGCGGCCCGCGUCCCAUCAGCCUGUAGGCGGUGUAACGGACCACCUAAGCUAUGACGGGUACCCGGACUGAGAGGUCGGACGGGCGCAUUGGGACUGAGAUACGGCCCAGACUCCUACGGGAGGCAGCAGCUAAGAAUAUUCCGCAAUGGGGGGAACCCUGACGGAGCGACGCCGCGUGGGCGAUGAAGGCCGGAAGGUUGUAAAGCCCUUUUAUGCGCGAGGAAUAAGUCCGGGAGGCAAUGCCCGGGCGGUGACUGUAGCGCAUGAAUAAGCGCCGGCUAAUUACGUGCCAGCAGCCGCGGUAACACGUAAGGCGCAAGCGUUGUUCGGAAUCAUUGGGCGUAAAGGGCGUGUAGGCGGCCGCAUAAGUCGGGAGUGAAAGGCGCGGGCUCAACCCGCGGACUGCUCCCGAUACUGUGCGGCUCGAGUCCCCGUGGCGCGGCCGGAAUUCCAGGUGUAGGGGUGAAAUCUGUAGAUAUCUGGAAGAACACCGGUGGCGAAGGCGGGCCGCGAGCGGGAGACUGACGCUGAGGCGCGAAGGUGCGGGUAGCGAACAGGAUUAGAUACCCUGGUAGUCCGCACAGUAAACGAUGCACGCUGGGCGUCCGGCGCAUGGCCGGGUGCCGAAGCGAACGCGGUAAGCGUGCCGCCUGGGGAGUAUGCCCGCAAGGGUGAAACUCAAAGGAAUUGACGGGGGCCCGCACAAGCGGUGGAGCAUGUGGUUUAAUUCGAUGGUACGCGAGGAACCUUACCCGGGUUUGACAUGCACGGUGAUGCCGCGGAGACGCGGCAGCCCAGCAAUGGGACCGUGUGCAGGUGCUGCAUGGCUGUCGUCAGCUCGUGCCGUGAGGUGUUUGGUUAAGUCCAGCAACGAGCGCAACCCCUGCUGCCUGUUGCCAGCGCGCAAUGGCGGGGACUCAGGCGGGACUGCCGGCGACAAGCCGGAGGAAGGCGGGGACGACGUCAAGUCAUCAUGGCCCUUAUGCCCGGGGCUACACACGUGCUACAAUGGCCGGCACAGAGCGUGGCGACGCGGCGACGCGGAGCGGACCGCUGAAAGCCGGCCCCAGUCCGGAUCGGAGUCUGAAACCCGACUCCGUGAAGUUGGAAUCGCUAGUAAUCGCGCAUCAGCACGGCGCGGUGAAUACGUUCCCGGGCCUUGUACACACCGCCCGUCACACCAUCCGAGUCGGGUGCGCCCGAAGUCGGCAGGCCAACCCGCAAGGGGGGCCGCUGCCGAAGGCGAGCCCGGCGAGGGGGGUGAAGUCGUAACAAGGUAACC